Molecule: unclassified non-coding RNA, 342 nt
Filed under: soil metagenome
Description: partial contains 5.8S ribosomal RNA, internal transcribed spacer 2, and large subunit ribosomal RNA
Rfam family: 5.8S ribosomal RNA (bases 1-120)
Source: RNAcentral
GAUGAAGAACGCAGCGAAAUGCGAUAAGUAGUGUGAAUUGCAGAAUUCCGUGAAUCAUCGAAUCUUUGAACGCACAUUGCGCCCGCCAGCACUCUGGCGGGCAUGCCUGUCCGAGCGUCAUUUACCACCCUCGGGCCCCCUUGGGGGCCCGGUGCUGGGGGCACGGCCCAGGCCGCCCCCGAAAUGCAGUGGCGACCCCGCCGCGUCCUCCCCUGCGCAGUAGCACAAUCUCGCACCGGAAGCGCGGAGGCGGUCACGCCUGGAAACGCCCCAACUCAACGCAGUUGACCUCGGAUCAGGUAGGAGUACCCGCUGAACUUAAGCAUAUCAAUAAGCGGAGGA